RNAcentral lists this unclassified non-coding RNA (10919 nucleotides) under Leishmania donovani. RNAcentral describes it as "gene:LdHU3.03.0850(CDS-product:serine/threonine-p rotein_kinase_putative)". Lineage: Eukaryota; Euglenozoa; Kinetoplastea; Trypanosomatida; Trypanosomatidae. The record is from RNAcentral.
UGCUUAUCCCUUCUACACACGCGCGCGUGCGUCCAACACGUAUUGAGCCACGCCAAACCCGAAGCCUCCGACGGGGGGCAGGAAAAGAACUACAAGAGCGUCUGCCGCGCACCCCUCUCCACCCCCUCUCCCACCCUCCCUCCGUCCCUCUCCCUCUGCCCCUCCGUCGGUCCCCCUCCACCCCCAUCUCCUGUAUGCCUCUGUAUUAUAUAUAUAUAUAUGUAUGCGUGUGUGCAUGUACGUCUCCUUCUGGUUUCCGUGUCUUCUCGCUAACUCGCACUGUCGUAUUACGCGGUAGCAGCCUGCAGCAGCUGGUAGCGGUGGUGGUGGCACGAACCCUUGUCAUCAGCGCCCGCCCUUUUUUUCGUUUUCGCUUUCAUUGUCUUCUAGUUCGCUUGUGUCGUUUUGGCUGUGGCGUUGCUGCGGUGCGGUGCGCUGUGUGGUGAGCGCAUCGGUGUGCACGCGCUUGUGUGCUUUACGCCUCUCCGCUGUCGCUGCUGCUCGUCUGUCCGGAUCUCUUCCUCUCCGCCGUGGUGCUCGCCUCGCUUAUCAUUCUCUCGCUCUUCGCUCGUCCUUCCAUCCGCUACCUCCCCUCCCCUGAUCUCUCCCUCUUCUCGGCCGCAUCCUCAGUGUCUGUCGGUGUCGGUCGCUCCGUCGGCGCGUGUGUUUGCCCUUCUGCAUUCCUUUAGUGCUUCGUGAGUUGUGUGUGUGUGUGUGUGUGUGUGUGUGUGUGUGUGUGUGAAGUCGUUGCCUGCCUCCUUGUUCUUGUUGCUACUCUUUCACGCCGCCUCUCUCUUGGGCGGCUGAGGUGUACGGCGACGACGGGCCGGCUCCUGUCAACCUUCUCCUCCGCCUCCCCCCCCCACGCUGCUGUGCCGGUUCUUCUCCGUUUCGCUGGGACAUCACUUGUAUAGCGCACGCACACGCUGCGUCUGACCGUCUGUCUUUCCUUUUUCUCGCCCUCACCCAUUUCCAGCUGCCGUGCGCUUGCGUACGUGGCGCACCUGCUGCGCGUGUGUGCGUGUGUGUCGGCCCCCUCCCUCCCUCGAGCUGACCAAUGCUGCGCUGGGCGCAGCACGUCUUUGGCAAGACGAGCGCCAGUGCGGCGGUCGCGACAGACGCAAGCGAUGGCGGCACUGGAGAGGCCGCGGUGCGCCAGGCGCAGCCUCGUCGCCCGCGUCGCGGGGUUGAUGUGCCGCCGCUGAAGCAGUGGUGGAGUCCCGCGGAUGCGGAAGACGCCCCUGCCGGUGCGGCGCGUCACUCGCCCCCCGCCUCCCUCACCCUUUCAGACGCCGGCAUGGAUGGCGACUACGGCUCUCCCGGCAUCCUUGACCUCGCGGCGUCACUAAACUUCGGCGCAUCGGCUCCUGCUGCUCCUGCUGCUGCUGCUGCGGCGGCGGCGGCGGCGGCGGCGGAAGCGCCAGCAACGGAAAUGGUCAGCGCGAGAUGUGCGGACGUGACGACGACGUCCACCGCGCACGCUCACGACGACGACGACGCUGUCGACGACUUCCUGCGAAAUGUCAUUGCCGGCAAGACAGACAUGCUGCGCAAGCAGCUCGCUCGGGAAAAGCUCGAGGCCGCCGCCGCCGCCGCUGCAGCAGCAGCAGCUAAUCCUGGCCACCACCACAACAACAGCCCCAGCUGCACUCGCGGCGGCGGGGCUGGUCUCGACAAGAGCACCAGGCGCAGCAGCACGUCGACGUUUGGCACCGUGACUGGCGACGGCGCCGCCUCCAUGGGGAGCUCCAUGCACUUGCAGAAGUCGAUAAGUGCCGCCACCACCACGACGGGCAGCUCACUCGCAGGAGGGAAGGCGACGGCAAGUCGGGGAGGGAGCUCGAUGGCGGCGACAACGACGACGGGUGCAGCAUUGGCCGCUGGAGGCACCUCGCCACAGCACUACCACGCACGCCGGAGUCGAUAUGUCAGCUCUGCCGCCCGCUCGCUGCAGGAUUACGAGCUGAUUGCCUUUCUCGGCAGUGGCACGUUCGCUGAAGUCACAUUGGCGCGCAACAAGGUCACUGGGGAGUACUUCGCCGUGAAGAAGAUCUCCAAGCAGCGAGUAAAGGAGGAGGGCUGCGUUGAGCGCACCUUCACGGAGCGGCAGCUCCUCGCCAAACUGCACCACCCCUUCCUUGUGCGCCUCUACCAGGCCUUCCAGAGCCAGACACACCUCUACCUCGUGCUGGAUUUCGCGCAGGGCGGCGACCUCUACUCGCUCUGCGUGCAGCAGCUGUGGCUCCGCAGCAUGAAGCGAAGCCUGGUCAAGAUGCAGUACCCGUACUACCAGAGCACCUCUAGCACCUUCACCCCGGCGCCCCCUCCUGCCGCGGCAACGUCGAACGCACAGCUGACGGCCGGACCGGCCCUCUCGCGUCUUCCCUCCUCCGCCGCUGUGACACAGCCCACAGAGGUUGUUCCGGAUGCGCAGCGGCAGCAACCAAGAGUCAGCAGCGGCACCACGACCUCGGACAGAGACGCAAUCCUUGCAUCGCCCGCCAUGGUUGGAAGUGUCGGGUCCAGCACGGUCAGCAGUGCCUCUCGGCCGGGCUACACCGUCGCGGACACCGCCACGGGAGCGGCAUUGCCUCUGGCCUCAGCGCGGGAUGGUCACGCGAGCGGCGUGGCUGAUGGCGCCCACGAAGCCGUGGCCGCCGUGGCCGACGAGGAGGAGAUGAAAGAGGAAGACACGGACACAACAGAGUUUGACGGCGCCACGGACAACAACCGCAGCAUGGCCGAGGCCCCGCCGUCCGCAGUGCGGCAGCAGCAGCGGCAGAGUAGUAGACACGCCCAGCGAGGUGCCGCUGACUGCCCCAGCCGCCACCCGCGGCUUGCAACGGACUUGUUCUACUACACGACCGACGCCAUCGACGAGUUUGCCACCAGUCGCAACGUCGGCAGCGGCGGAAGCAGAAGCUCGCCAACGACACCCACCACCUCACGCACGCCGGAGGCCACAGAGUCCGCAGCGGCCCAUGCCGCGGCAGCAGCCGGAGACAGUGCUCCGGCUGCGACCCGAGAUGGCGAAGUCGCGUCCUCGACGGCUUCGGUGGGGUCUAGUGGCCGCGAGCGGUACCGGCUGCUGCGGCGGCGCACGCUUCCCGCAGUCGAGCGCGACGGUGGUGCGCGCGGCGGCCGUUCUAUGUCUUCAUCCUCUUCCUCAUCCACUGAUGAUGAUAACGGCAAGGGCAGACGGCGGCGAGAUACCGCUGACAAGGACGGCCGCGGCAGCUCUGCCGACUCGGCGCGGCGGCUAUCGUGGAAGCCGCGAGGCGUGACGUGCACAGGUCCGGCCACGCAGGCUGGGGCUGCGUCUCAGCACCCGCCAUCUCCUGCGGCAUCCACGCCAAGCUGUCAAACUGCCGCCGGUGGCGCCAGCGUCGUGUCUACCGCGACGAGCAGCACCGCCCUGCCCUUAGCCACCAGGCCUUCAGACCUCACGGCGAUCGACUUGGCAACGCCGAGGACGCAGAUGUCACUGCCACGGUCACCUGUGCACUUCCAGUACGACGAGAGAAGAAGCAGCAGCGGCCACAGCAACAACGGCGGUGGUGGUGUGGACGAGGCACUGCGAGGCGGCGAAUCGUCUUCGGCGGUGUCGGUGAAGUCCACGCCGUCGCUCACGGCGACCAAGUGGCGGCCGAUGCCGCGCAGAGCCUCGGCGUCUGAGCUGGCAGACAUCUUCGCAGUGGCCGCCUCGUCCGCGGCGGUGACGGUGCCCGCGACGAGCGCCGCAGGUGGCACCAGCGCGGCUGACGUGAAGAGGGGAAAGACCACCAAGAGCGCGUGGCCGCCGGCCACGGGGGCGGAGCAGCCGCGGCUCGCCAGCGAUAACAGCCACACCGCGACCAGCACCACGAGUGCAGCGGCAACGUCACUGCCAAGAAGGCAAAAAGGAAAGGCGAAGGUCGUCAGCGACAAAGACGAGGACAGCGGUGCGUCUACGUCGCCAUCAUCGCCACCGCCGCCACUGCACGCGGGCAGCAGCCACGGUAGCCGCCGCGCACCCGAAAAAAAGGCGACCGAGUCGCAUGAUGCGUCGGAGGCCGCGGUCGACCAGCGCUCCUUCUCCACGGACAUCACCGACGCAGCGAAGCCGCUGUCGGCCACCGUGACGACGAUGUCCUUCGUUGGUGCGACCGCGGCGCAGGACGCGGCAGCCGCAGCCGCCGCGCUUCGGGUCGAUCUGGCCGCGCCGUUUCGCCAAGUUGCGAUGGAGGGCAGCGCGAGUGUGCUGCGGACGCUGCCCAGCGCGGAGUUUGCGCCUGACGGGGCGCAUCGGUUCCCGCUGCGGCUCAUCGCCUUCUACGCGAUCGAAGUGGCGCUGGUGCUGCAGUACCUGCACCGUGAAGGUUUUCUCUACCGCGAUCUAAAGCCGGAGAACAUUUUGAUGCGCAGAGAUGGGCACGUGAUGCUGACGGACUUCGGCGUCGCGAAGUACCGCAAGGGUGCCGCAAUUAUGCCGUCAGGCAGCGGCGACGGCGUCCACGGCGAGGUUGCAAGCAGCCCCUACUCGGGUGCGGGUGCUGGCACCGAUGGCAGGGCGAACAGCUUCACCGGCACGACGCAGUACAUGAGCCCGGAGAUGCUGCGUGGGCAACCGCACGACUCCCGCACCGACUGGUGGAGUUACGGGUGUCUGCUGUUCGAGUGGGCGAAUGGGCGCAAGGCCUUCAACGCGCAGAACCAGUUCGCCCUCUUCCGCUCCAUCGUAGAGGAGGACGUGAAGAUCACCGCGGAGGACUACCGGCUCACGCCGCUGGAGGUGCACACGCGCGUCGCACAGCUGCACUACCGCGCGGAGGAGGUGCGGCUGGCCUACGAGCAGCGGGUGGCGCGGCGGAUGCGGCGGAGCUUCACGCCCUUGUCGCAGUCCACAAGACCGCCAGCGACGCCGUCGGCCCUCACAGCAGAGGUCAUCUACAACCCCGACAACCGCAGCUUCGAUGUGCAGCUGCGCUCUCCAGCGAUGUCGGCCAUGUCCUUUGCGCAGUCCGGCAGCGACGGCACCGGCGCAGCGGCAGAAGGGGCGGAGGAAGCGCUGACGAACGACGUAGUGAAGAGCUGCACCCCGCAUCCGAAGGAUUCCCGUCAGCGCCCACCGUCCCUGUUGCCGUCGUUCGACGCUGCAGCCACACACGUCACCCCGCACCGGCAUGCCCACCGUCGCCUGCACAGCUACAGCUACGCGUCGCCGCACUCCACAGCAACGGUGCCGAAAGCAUCCGUGGCGGUGCUGCUGAACGACUCCUUCGCGAACCAGCUCGGUGCGCUGGGCGUGUCCAGGACUGCCAGUGCGGAAGAAGACACUCAAGGACCGUCGCCGCAGUCGACGCUGAACGACUCCUUCGCCGGCGUGGAAUCCAACUCCGUCGUGUCGCUCUGUGGCGCGCCGACGAACCUGUCCAUGCGUCUGACCACCACCGAGGACGGCGUCAUCGCUGCGCUGCUCUCGUCCGCCUCCCCGACGGCGGUGCACCUCCAGCACCAGCAACAGCAGCAGGAGCGGCAUCGCCGCCAUCAGCGGCGCCGACUGCGUCUGUCCUGCCUCAACCUGGACGAGGCGACCCGUGACCGCUACAUCGACAACGCCGUCGCCCAGAUGGCUGAGGCUCAGGCGCUGCUGCGCGACCUGACGAUGAAGCUGCUGGACCGCCGCAUGGAGCACCGCCUCAGCGGCGAGGCCGUCCUGGAGCACCCCUUCUUCACCUGCCCAUACGUUGUCUCGCAGCUGUACUACGACGUUUAUCAGAGGCGCGUCCUGUCGACGGAGAUUCGCCGCUCCGUGCGCGCUGCCUUCGGCUCCAACAACUUGCCGGCCGACCUCGUCGCGCCAAUGUGGGAUGGGACGCUGCAGCAGCCCACGACGGUCGCCUCUCCGCUGCCCCCGCUGGUGCCAGCUUCCCCGACGCCCUUCGCCACGACGACCACCGCUGCUGCUGCCGCCGCAUCUGUCUCGCACACGCACGACUCCUUUCUGGCGAUUCCGCUGCCGUCGCAGACGCGGCCGGAGGACUGGCGCGAGCUCUUCAUGGAACGGCGCAUUCGCGCCCCCUACGCGCCGCGGCUGCGCACCCGCGACGACCUGCGCUACUUCCCGGCUGCGGUGACGGCGACGGGACUCUCUGCCGCGGCGGAGCAGCACCGCCGCAUCAAGGAGGUUAAGGAACAGCAGAAGGAGCUCAUGAUGAUGCGCGCCAAUAAAACGGCGGCGACCGCCACAAACAAAAGCUUCGGCAGCGCGAGCUUCCCAGCAACCCUGUCUUGCCCAAACACGCAGCUGACGGCGAACGGCAGUGGCAGUGGUGGUGGUGGCUCCGUCGUUCUUGUGCCCCUCGAUGCGGAGGCGGCGCAACAGGUGCAGCAGCUUCUAGUGGCGAGCGCCAGCAGUCUCAGUUUGCAAAAUCGCGAUGAUGCCUCUCUUCUGCCUGAGCUCGACCCCGACGGGCCAGCAGCCGUGCACACCGAUGGCGUGAGAACCGCUCUGGAAGUGUCCCACGCGGCCGCCGCACCGGUCGCGCUCACGUCUUCCGGCGCUGGCGUAGCGGUUUCCACGCCGGCCGCCAGCUCUCAGGGGCCGGCGGAGAAAACCCAGCCGCUGCAGCUGCCCGCAGUGGAAGUGAUAGCAGCCGUCACUGCUGACCUUGGCGAUGCUUCACCGUCGCACAAGCGACUGGCCGAAGUGCCGGCCCAGAGUUCCGCGGCCGGUGAUGCCCGAAGGGCAGACUUCGCGGAAGAGGUGCAGCUCGACACGAAGGGGACGACAGCGACCGGAACGGCGGCGACGACUGCGUCAGUGGCGCUCCCAUCACGCAUGUGGGAACCGCAGCUAGCAGGGCAUUGCUCAGCCAGGAUGAGCUCCGCGAAGGCAUCUCCGAUGGACACGCCACUCAGCGUGGGUAGCGGGAGCGGCAGUUUGACGACGUCAGCGGCGGUUGCUGAAUUUCGGCCAGACCUUUUUGACCGCGCUGCGACGCUGCCGCAGAGCUUCGUGGAUGCCGCGCUGGCGGUGGCGGCGGCAGCCCAGAAGAAGCAGCAGCGCUCCGCAGACUCCGGCACUGCCCCGAAAGCCUUGAUCACUGCCCCUGUGGAGACUCAGGGCAGCAGCACUGGAGCCGUGGCAGCGGCCGAGACAGCUUGCGCCUCCGCCUCCACCGACGUAACGCGCAGCACCGGCGCAGAGAGAAGCACCUUCGCGGCAACGCCACCGACUUCACUUGAGGCUCUGCCGCAGCAGCAGCCGGCCAGGGUAGAUGACGCCGCGCCCAACAGCUCUGUACUGCCCGCAAGCCGCGAGAUGGCGUACGCUGCCGACGGGCGACUGAGCGGAGCGCUCCCAACAUGUGGUGGCGUUGGUACGCACAGUACGGCAGACGCGGAGGUGGUCGUGGAGGAAGCGGAGAAGGAACAUGCAGAGGUUCUGGUAGACGAGGACGAGGACCAUGAUGGCGGUGGUGGUUACUAUGAGCAGGAUGCCCUCGCCGAGGACGACGCGCACGCGGUGGACGGCGGCGAUGAUUCCACGAUCGUGGAAGAGGCAGCAGCCGCAGCCGACAUGACGAGCGAAACAGAUACCAUCACGGUUGCCGCGGUCAACUCGACGAUGGAAGUUAGUAGCUUCGAAGACUCCCAUGCGAGCGUACGGUUGCCGACGCCAACGCGACGCGGCACGUUGGUCAAAUCGUCGGUAGUCGUCAGCAGCGCCGGCACGAGCGGGUGGGGAGGCAGCGCUGCGAACCCACUCUCUCCCGGCGUCGGCGGCGUCGACGUGGAGGCCGACAGCAACAACAGCGUCUGCCGCCGCGGCAACGUAUCGGUCACCGGUCCGACUCCCAUCGUGCCCGUGGAGGUGCCGCCGACUGCGAACGCUUCCCUUAACCUGCGCAGCCACUCGCGCACGUCGUUGGGCGGCGGCUCCACACGUCCCAUGCACGGCUCUCUGAAGGGGGCACCUGUGUACGCGUCGCCGCUGCUCGGCCACAGCGGCGAGAUGCACUGCGACCUCAGCGCCUUUACAAUGUCGCCGGUCUCCUCCACGACCACCAUGCUGCUCGAAGACUCGCAGCGGUCGCUGUCGACCAGCCUCGGCCCCAGCGGCGCUGGCGGUCCGUGUGGCACCAGCAGCGCGUGGGCGACGCCAUCGUCUGCCGACACACAGGUUCCUGAGCGGGAGUAUCAACGCCGAGUCCACCAUCAUCGCCAUCCGCUGUCGUACGCCGACGGCAGUGGAAACCAAGACGUGCCGGAUGCAUCACCGCACAUGCUACCGUUGCCGCCGUCCCUCGCGUACCGUGAAGAGAGUCAGCAGCAGCCCCCGGAAAAGCUUUUGUCCGCCGCGACGUCCUUCGAGAACGCCUUGCUUCCAGCAACCACCUCGUCCUCCAGCACCACCAACACCACACCCUUGGGAACGAUCAUGAUGAUCCAGUCCGCUGAGCUGACGGGCGUUGGCAGAUCGCUUAGUGCCGCCACCACCGCAGCAGGUACCGCAAGUGACGCCGCGCUGUCGUGCACCGCGUCGCCAGCGGCGCUGCAGGCGCUGGCGGCCGUCCGUGACGGUACCACAACCGUCGGCGGUGUCGAGGCCUCGCCCGAGAGCCCGUGCGGUGGGGAGCUGCAUAGCGCUGGUGCUGCGCGCUCGCGCGGCCCGCAGAUGCCGGCCGCAUUCUCCGCCGUGGAGCAUCGUGGUGCACACCCAUCAAGUGCGACUGCGUCUGCGGUCACAAGAGUGGCAAGCAUGAACGUCAACCACGACGUCGCUGAUGAUGACGACAACCACGAUGUGGGGAUAGCGGACGAGGCGGGCUACGAGAGAAGCGGUGGUGAGGAGCACAGCAGCGGCGACGACGACGGCAGUGACACGAUGACCACCUCCGGCAGCGCGAGCGAGGGGCAAGACGAGGACGAUCAGAAGAGUGACGCCAGUGAAUCGGUCGAUUCUGCACGGCGACCGACGCCGUCCCCGCCAGCCAGUGCACGUGGUGAGAACGUCGCCGGCAGUGAGCGCAACGCGGACGCCGUGUCGUCGUUGCUGGACUCGACUGCGUCAUCCAUCUCCACGACGACGUCCACUUCGGUGCACGCCUUCUCCAUGUCCUCGGAUGCCUCCUCGACAAGCUCGCAGGGUGACAACAACAGGGCAGCCGCGAUGUAUUCCACAACCAUUCGCCCACCAAUGGUACUGCUGGCCGGGGCCGACCGUUGCGGCGACGGCGGCCCCUCCGGCACCAUCAGUGGGCGCCGACAACGCGGUGACACCAUCUCCCUGUCUCCGUACGAUACACCGUGGUCGUUCAACGCUCGUAUCGGCAGCUGCAGCGGUGGUGGGGAUCACCGUCGCCGCGGCAGCGACCAGUGCAUGCCGCAUCGGUACGCCCACUUCGGUCGCGACGCUGCGCGUGGUGGUGUCGGCACGAGCAUGCCCUUCGCCGCCACAGACGUGACGGUGACGGUGAACCCGACCAUGUGCGCGACCCUCUCCGCUAACGCGCCGCUGUCCUUGGACAGCAGCGGCAGCCGGCUCUUCAGCACCGCGUUUGCCUCCUCUCUCAGCCUCGACACGAUCGGUGGCGGCGCUGGCGACACCGCAGGGUUCCUGGGGCCACUCACAACCACGCUCUCUGGUGUCGCGUACAACGUCGAUGACGAGGCUAGCAUGAGCACCUUUGCAGCGACGCCGAUGAUGCCGGCCGAAGGCAGCGACCGCGACAGCGGCGCCGCAUCGACGCCGACAUUGGGCUACGGCGGGCGCGGUCAGGGCGGCAAGGAUGCCAUCGGGGCCACCGCCAGCAGCGGUGCCGACAGCCCUUCAGCCGCGGGCCGCCGACGAGGCGUGCAGGCGAUCUGGGCGCAGCAGCAACGCAAGCGAAUCGCACGCGAACUACAGCAGCAGCAGCAGCAGCAGGAAUCGGAUCCCUCAGCGGCAGCGUCGCUGCUGUGCGAGGCUGGCGCUGAAAGCGGUAGUCGUGGCAUCAGUGACAGUGGAGGAUGGUGGUCGUAUUGGUCCAAGCACGGCAGCAACGACGCCACCAUCUCCUCUACAGACAAGCUCGUCGGCCUCACCUCCAACGACGGCUGUGCUGAGCCGCAGCACCGGCAGAUGCACUUGGGCGUGCCAUACGACCACACCAUCGGCGACGAUGACAAAGACGACGCGGCUGCUGCGGGGCGGGGCGGUAGCCCACCGCAGCGGCAGUCCUGUUCUGCGAAAAGCGGCGGUGAACAGGGCCGCAGUGAUGGUCGAGGUGGCAAGAGAGACCACCGGAACUUGGCAUUGACACGCUGCGGCAACGAAGGUGGUGCGGACGGCCGGACCGGUGCCACCGGCGACGGCAGCAACAGCGGUGGCCUCAGCAGCUUCGGCGCCGGGGGUGGCGGCAGCGGUGGUUUUGACCACUUUCACAACUUUUCCUUCACGUCUCCACAGAUUCUUCAGCAGUACCUUGCCUCCUCCUCCUCCUCCGGCGGCGGCGACGGUGACGUUGACGAGGGAAGGCGACGUCCGCACUACCAACGACUUCGUCGUGGUCGCCUGGACGGCGGCGACUCUGACAGAGAGCCCUGAUGCACGUCGGAUGCGCAAGUGGGAGGACUCUGGGGUGUGUGCCGCUUGUUACCCACCACGACCACCACCAACACCGCCGUCAGCGCUCCGCGGCUGCUCCUCGCGCGCCAAGCGCGAUGUUUACUUGGUAAGCAGAACUGUUUUCGUGCGACGCGUGAGGACACACGGCGGGCGAUCCCGGCCGGGGGUGGGGCGUGUGCGCAUCAGCACGCGUAUCAUCUCUCCACCGCGCAACCGACUUACCUGUGCCUUGCGGAUCUCCUUUCUGUAUUCUCGUUUUGAGUGCGUGCGUGGUGACGCGCGCGCUGCGGUCGAUGCACAAAUUCUCUAAAGCCACGGUGGGACAAAC